UGGGGAAUAUUGGACAAUGGGCGAAAGCCUGAUCCAGCCAUGCCGCGUGUGUGAAGAAGGUCUUCGGAUUGUAAAGCUCUUUUGGCGGGGAAGAUAAUGACGGUACCCGCAGAAUAAGCUCCGGCUAACUUCGUGCCAGCAGCCGCGGUAAUACGAAGGGAGCUAGCGUUGUUCGGAAUCACUGGGCGUAAAGCGCACGUAGGCGGAUUUGUCAGUCAGGGGUGAAAUCCCGGGGCUCAACCUCGGAACUGCCUUUGAUACAGCAAGUCUUGAGUUCGAGAGAGGUGGGUGGAAUUCCUAGUGUAGAGGUGAAAUUCGUAGAUAUUAGGAAGAACACCGGUGGCGAAGGCGGCCCACUGGCUCGAUACUGACGCUGAGGUGCGAAAGCGUGGGGAGCAAACAGGAUUAGAUACCCCCGUAGUCCCUGAGCGGGCUGGCAAGGCGCAU
Molecule: ribosomal RNA, 447 nt
Filed under: uncultured bacterium
Lineage: Bacteria
Description: bacterial SSU rRNA
Rfam family: Bacterial small subunit ribosomal RNA
Source: RNAcentral